CAGCGAGGAAGAGGAGGAGGCUGUCCCUGAAGACCUGAGGCCGUCGGCACAGAGUGCCUUCCAGCUGGCGUACCAGGCAUGGGUGACCAACGCCCAGACGGUGCUGAGGCGGCGGCAGCAGGAGCAGGAGCAGGCAAGGCAAGAGCAGGCAGGACAGCUACCCACAGGUGAGCUGGGGGGCGUGGGGACUCUGAGGGGAAGCCGCGGGACUGCCAGUCACUCAUCAGCAUCCUGUGCCCAGGAGGUGGUCCCAGCCAGGAGGUGGAGCCGGCAGAGGGCCCCGAGGAGGCAGCGGCAGGCCGGAGCCACGUGGUGCAGAGGGUGCUGAGCACGGCGCAGUUCCUGUGGAUGCUGGGGCAGGCACUAGUGGACGGGCUGACACGCUGGCUGCAGGAGUUCACCCGGCACCACGGCACCAUGAGCGACGUGCUGCGGGCAGAGCGCUACCUCCUCACACAGGAGCUCCUGCAGGGCGGCGAAGUGCACAGGGGCGUGCUGGAUCAGCUGUACACAAGCCAGGCCGAGGCCACGCUGCCAGGCCCCACCGAGGCCCCCAAUGCCCCAAGCACCGUGUCCAGGUAGGUGCUGGGGUGACCCGAGCCCCAGCUGCUGCCCCUGGUGUGUGGGCAACGCCCAGC
RNAcentral lists this small RNA (638 nucleotides) under Pan troglodytes (chimpanzee). Its description in RNAcentral is "retained intron". Lineage: Eukaryota; Metazoa; Chordata; Mammalia; Primates; Hominidae. The record is from RNAcentral.